AUUGAACGCUGGCGGCAGGCCUAACACAUACAAGUCGGACGGUAGCACAGAGGAGCUUGCUCCUCGGGUGACGAGUGGCGGACGGGUGAGUAAUGUCUGGGGAUCUGCCCGAUAGAGGGGGAUAACCACUGGAAACGGUGGCUAAUACCGCAUAACGUCGCAAGACCAAAGAGGGGGACCUUCGGGCCUCUCACUAUCGGAUGAACCCAGAUGGGAUUAGCUAGUAGGCGGGGUAACGGCCCACCUAGGCGACGAUCCCUAGCUGGUCUGAGAGGGUGACCAGCCACACUGAGACUGAGACACGGCCCAGACUCCUACGGGAGGCAGCAGUGGGGAAUAUUGCACAAAGGGCGCAAGCCUGAUGCAGCCAUGCCGCGUGUAUGAAGAAGGCCUUCGGGUUGUAAAGUACUUUCAGCGGGGAGGAAGGCGAUGUGGUUAAUAACCGCAUUGAUUGACGUUACCCGCAGAAGAAGCACCGGCUAACUCCGUGCCAGCAGCCGCCGCAG
Molecule: ribosomal RNA, 506 nt
Filed under: uncultured bacterium
Lineage: Bacteria
Description: partial 16S ribosomal RNA
Rfam family: Bacterial small subunit ribosomal RNA
Source: RNAcentral